GCCUUGUUGUCAAUAUGGUCUCUCAAACAAGAUUAGCCUGUUAUCCCUAAGGUAGCUUUUUCUAUUUUUCAGUUUUUCUGGAUCUAAGAGAGGUUUUAGUUUUUCUCUAGUUGCCCCAACUAAGCUUUCUUUCAGUAGGGUUAAGUGUUAAGCUAAGCUCUAUAGGGUCUUUUCGUCUUUUUGUU
RNAcentral lists this ribosomal RNA (185 nucleotides) under Pseudopolydora paucibranchiata. RNAcentral's name for it is "partial 16S ribosomal RNA". Lineage: Eukaryota; Metazoa; Annelida; Polychaeta; Spionida; Spionidae. The record is from RNAcentral.